RNAcentral lists this long non-coding RNA (1200 nucleotides) under Marmota monax (woodchuck). The record is from RNAcentral. Lineage: Eukaryota; Metazoa; Chordata; Mammalia; Rodentia; Sciuridae.
CAAUUUAAUCAUUAACAAGUGACUAGGAGUUGGGCCUGUAACUCAGUGGUAGAGUGCUUGCCUAGUAUGAAUGAGGCCCUGGGUGGAUCCCCAGCACAAAACAAAAUGAGACUAAACAAGACCAAAACAUGAGAUGAUGCCAUUGCUGUAGAAAGUAGUUUUGCCAUUAUAAAUAGGAAGCGGAACCCCCUCUUCUUGCAAGCAGACUCAGUCAGCAAAACCCAAAAGAAACAAGCCAGACAGUGCACAGGAAGACCACCCAGGGACAACUGCAGUCAUCAAACCAGAAGAGUCAAAAAGACGCUGAGGCACAGGAUCAGUUUUCUUUCUACCUUGGUGUAUUGGAGGACGAUUAAAGAGCAUCCUGAAAUGGUGAACACAGCUCCUGGGUGUGUGCAUGUAAGUUUGUGCACAGAAAUUGCUUUUUAUAAUUGCAUAAAAGUUCACAGUAGUGGGGCGCUCACUGGGAUGAAUUAUGGCUGAUUGUCUACACAAUAUAUUCAGCUGUCUGACAUGAUGUCAGUCUAUAGGUGUUGACGUGGAAAAGUAUGGAGAAAAUAUAAAUCCAGUGACUAAACCAGAUAGAAGAACACUAUGUGCUAUAUGAUCUUAUUUGUAGCCAUGUACUAUGGGCUGUGAGGUCUGGCGGAGGCAUUAGAGUGACCAUCUAAGUUUUGAACUAUGCAUAUCCCAGGACUUAAUUCAGCAACUGAUGCAUAAUGGCCCCUCAAUAAAUAUUUGUUGAGCAAAUACUUUGCUAAAAAUCUAGAGUGCUAAUAAUAGUAAUAACAGGAAAAUGGGUGGGUUUUAAAAUUGUCCCUAUUUUCUUUCAAAAAAAUGCUGAGAAGAAGAUUGUGAAUUACACCAAAAUAAAUACUUAAGUUUUAUAAUCAAAUGGACAUCCAGUUGCUGGGCCCCACUGUAUAUACUAGUGACCAAGGAACUAGGGGCCAAGCAGGUUGAACUUCAUUACAGAUUUGUCUUUCAAUUUGCCUCCAGAACAAAUUAGUGACUUUUUUUUUUAAUGUUGAUCUCCCCCAGGUCCAUGCCCAAAGAAAGAAGAAGAGAAGAAGAAGAAGAAAAGGCUGAAAAACUCAAAAUCCUUAAAUUCUUAUAGGAUUAUAACACUGCAUGAAGACAUGAAUUCCUAAGCAUAUUUCCAGAUGACAUUCCACUCUCCAUACAAUAAAGAUAAAUUCA